AGGAUCAGCAUGACUGUAGUGUUCCUGGCUUAACCCUGAGAGGUUGCUGUUCCCAGUGACUAUCUAGGCUGAAGCCCAUGUAGGAUUUGAAGAGACUGAUCCAGGCUUUAUGAGUGGCUGCGACCAUGCUGUAUGUGUGUAUGUGUGUGUGUACACCGCCUAAGUGUGUUCAUUUCAGCCACAGCAAGAGUUAUGUUACAAGGAUAGCAUAGACAGCCCUGCCUAUUGCAAGAGUAAUGCAUCAGGUGUGAAACAGAUCUUUAAUGCUGUGUGAAGCAGGCUCUUUUAAGGUCCAAUUAGUAUGGUGUCACCAAUAUAUGGAUCCAUGCGAUUGAUUAUCUGUGGAGUGUCCGGAUGGUCCAGGACCCUUCAGAUUAUAUUACGAUGGAGAACAGGAAAAUUAACCAAAACCUGGGCAAGACUGCGAAUGUGUGCUACUAUCCAUCCCAGUUCUGGAGGCCGGAGUUGGAAAUCAGUUUCACUGGGCACACAUGGAGGUGUUUGAAGGGCUGCCCGUGCCAGAGGCUCUCAGGGAGAAUCCCUUCCUUGUCUGUUCCAGCUCUACCUCCUCCUCUGCUGUGUGAGUAAAACCUCCCUCGGCCUCUUUGAUUAGGAUAAGGUGUAUUUAGUGUCUAGCAGGACAAUCCAGGAAAUUCUUCCCAUCUCAAGAUCCCUAACUUGAUCCCUUCUGCAAAGACCUGCUUUCACUCCCAUCUGCAAACACCAUUUCCGGGUUCCAGGGAUAAGCCCUGACAUCUGUGGGUGGCCGUUAUUCAGUUACCGACAGUGUGGCAUGAUGAAAAUGAAGUGUUAAAACAAGGACUGCAGUAUUGUUUAUUCCAGCAAAUGGUGAGUGGUCCAUCCUUCUCCAAGCCCUUUCUCUUCUUCUUCUCAUGGUCUCUGGCAUCUGGGAGAGUCCACGUGGCCUGGGUUGGGCUAACAGAUACCAGCAGAAGUGAUGCGUACAACUUCCGGCAACCUAGGUGCACUUGUCUCGCCCUCCCUGGGAGCAGAUCCAUCCUCAAACCUGCAGACAAGGAUAAUGCUGUAGUGGGUACUGAGAAAAAAAAAAAAAAAAAAAAGAAGGAACCUAAAGGAAAUGUUGGAGCAGAAAUACAUUUCUAUCUUAUUCAAGCUGGUAUAUUUUGGACUUCUGUUGCUACAACAGUUUCAUCUUUAUCCUAACGAAUACCCAUACAUGUAUUAGUAAAAAUAUAAAGGUGUCCAGGGAAUAAUGUCAGACUGAGGAGAAUGGGGCUUGGGGGAAGACGGGUGGCAAGAGGAUGUGUAAGGAAUACACAGUUGUAUCUGCAAAAUGUUUUCACUCUUAAGUUCAGUGGCAAACUAACGGAUGUUCUUUAUAUUAUUCUCUAUGCUUUUUUCAAUAUCUGAUUUAUUUUGCUUUAAAAAUCUAUACUAAUAGUGGAUGAGAAAAUAAAUGUCAUAGAAGGGG
Molecule: long non-coding RNA, 1453 nt
Filed under: Homo sapiens (human)
Lineage: Eukaryota; Metazoa; Chordata; Mammalia; Primates; Hominidae
Description: long independently transcribed non-coding RNA 2642, transcript variant 15 (LINC02642)
Source: RNAcentral